UAGGGAAUCUUCGGCAAUGGGGGCAACCCUGACCGAGCAACGCCGCGUGAGUGAAGAAGGUUUUCGGAUCGUAAAACUCUGUUGUAAGUCAAGAACGAGUGUGAGAGUGGAAAGUUCACACUGUGACGGUAGCUUACCAGAAAGGGACGGCUAACUACGUGCCAGCAGCCGCGGUAAUACGUAGGUCCCGAGCGUUGUCCGGAUUUAUUGGGCGUAAAGCGAGCGCAGGCGGUUUGAUAAGUCUGAAGUUAAAGGCUGUGGCUCAACCAUAGUUCGCUUUGGAAACUGUCAAACUUGAGUGCAGAAGGGGAGAGUGGAAUUCCAUGUGUAGCGGUGAAAUGCGUAGAUAUAUGGAGGAACACCGGUGGCGAAAGCGGCUCUCUGGUCUGUAACUGACGCUGAGGCUCGAAAGCGUGGGGAGCGAACAGGAUUAGAUACCCUGGUAGUCCACGCCGUAAACGAUGAGUGCUAGGUGUUGGAUCCUUUCCGGGAUUCAGUGCCGCAGCUAACGCAUUAAGCACUCCGCCUGGGGAGUACNACCGCAAGGNUG
RNAcentral lists this ribosomal RNA (550 nucleotides) under uncultured bacterium. Its description in RNAcentral is "bacterial SSU rRNA". It matches the Rfam family "Bacterial small subunit ribosomal RNA", at positions 355 to 896 of the family's 1533-position model. The record is from RNAcentral.